GCAGCAUGGUCUUAGCUUGCUAAGGCCGAUGGCGACCGGCGCACGGGUGAGUAACACGUAUCCAACCUGCCGUCUACUCUUGGACAGCCUUCUGAAAGGAAGAUUAAUACAAGAUGGCAUCAUGAGUCCGCAUGUUCACAUGAUUAAAGGUAUUCCGGUAGACGAUGGGGAUGCGUUCCAUUAGAUAGUAGGCGGGGUAACGGCCCACCUAGUCUUCGAUGGAUAGGGGUUCUGAGAGGAAGGUCCCCCACAUUGGAACUGAGACACGGUCCAAACUCCUACGGGAGGCAGCAGUGAGGAAUAUUGGUCAAUGGGCGAGAGCCUGAACCAGCCAAGUAGCGUGAAGGAUGACUGCCCUAUGGGUUGUAAACUUCUUUUAUAAAGGAAUAAAGUCGGGUAUGGAUACCCGUUUGCAUGUACUUUAUGAAUAAGGAUCGGCUAACUCCGUGCCAGCAGCCGCGGUAAUACGGAGGAUCCGAGCGUUAUCCGGAUUUAUUGGGUUUAAAGGGAGCGUAGAUGGAUGUUUAAGUCAGUGGUGAAAGUUUGCGGC
Molecule: ribosomal RNA, 550 nt
Filed under: uncultured Bacteroidales bacterium
Lineage: Bacteria; Pseudomonadati; Bacteroidota; Bacteroidia; Bacteroidales
Description: bacterial SSU rRNA
Rfam family: Bacterial small subunit ribosomal RNA
Source: RNAcentral